UAUAUAAAAAGGGAAGGACAAAUACAAAAGAUCGGAUCCAUAACCUACACUCUCAGAUCAAGAGUGAAGGGGAGCCGAUGUAAAAGAAAAGCCAGACAAAUAAGGAAGAGGGAACUACAACCGCGGGGAAGACCCUCCGCAACAACCAGAACGGAGAGAACGGAGAGAACUAAAACAAAGCGAGCAGAAACACGAUCAUUGAGCAGAAAAGACCGCCGGAUCGAAUCCCCAGCACCUUUGAAGUCUUUUGUUCCUCGGAGAAGGAGAGACCUUCGAAAAAGAGAUAGCUCUAUCUCUAACUGAUUUGAUAAGAUGAUUCUUAAGUGCAGAAAUAGCAACUGUCUCAUCCCGGAAGAUAGCAGCGUUCCUCAUCUUCCAGAUCAAAUGGC
This 389-nucleotide long non-coding RNA is filed under the name Eucalyptus grandis. Its description in RNAcentral is "long non-coding RNA (EGRA_LNC004883)". The record is from RNAcentral. Lineage: Eukaryota; Viridiplantae; Streptophyta; Magnoliopsida; Myrtales; Myrtaceae.